This 429-nucleotide ribosomal RNA is filed under the name bacterium. RNAcentral's name for it is "partial 16S ribosomal RNA". It matches the Rfam family "Bacterial small subunit ribosomal RNA", at positions 355 to 776 of the family's 1533-position model. The record is from RNAcentral.
UGGGGAAUCUUCCGCAAUGGACGAAAGUCUGACGGAGCAACGCCGCGUGAGUGAUGACGGCCUUCGGGUUGUAAAGCUCUGUUAAUCGGGACGAAUGGUUCUUGUGCGAAUAUUGCGAGGAUUUGACGGUACCGGAAUAGAAAGCCACGCCUAACUACGUGCAAACAGCCGCGGUAAUACGUAGGUGGCAAGCGUUUUCCGGAAUUAUUGGGCGUAAAGCGCGCGCAGGCGGAUUGGUCAGUCUGUCUUAAAAGUUCGGGGCUUAACCCCGUGAUGGGAUGGAAACUGCCAAUCUAGAGUAUAGGAGAGGAAAGUGGAAUUCCUAGUGUAGCGGUGAGAUGCGUAGAUAUUAGGAAGAACACCAGUGGCGAAGGCGACUUUCUGGACGAAAACUGACGCUGAGGCGCGAAAGCCAGGGGAGCGAACGGG